RNAcentral lists this long non-coding RNA (251 nucleotides) under Mytilus galloprovincialis (Mediterranean mussel). Lineage: Eukaryota; Metazoa; Mollusca; Bivalvia; Mytilida; Mytilidae. The record is from RNAcentral.
UACCUUCAGCAGAUUGCAAUUGUUUGAUUUCUGAUUGUUGUAACUGUAUGGUUAGUGAUUGUUGUUUCACAGUGUUGUUAAGGACCGAUAUAAUAUUCCCCAUGCGGUUCAAACGAUCAUUGAUGACAUCCGGGUCAUUCAGUAAUAGACGUUUUGCAUCAUUUUCUCAAGCAAAACAAACUGUCAAAGCAGAAAAUGCCAGAACACAUUGAAAAUAUCCUUUCAUUGUCUAACGGUCGGAAUCCUUAUCU